GUGUUAUUAAAAUUUUGUUAAAUGCUGGAUUUGUGCUGGUAGUUAGUUAACAACUUAUUUUACGUUAAUUCCUUUUUCUUUUUCUUUAUUUUUUUCUCUUUCUUUUUACAUUUCUCUUCCUUUGGAUUUUCCUUUCGAUUGCGUUCAACAAGUGAGUAUCAAAAUAAUUGAGACUCGUAAGUUGUUCGGAGUGUUUUUAGAAGAUUUCUAUAUAAGUUCUGUAAAAAAUUCUUAUGUUUCUG
Molecule: long non-coding RNA, 242 nt
Filed under: Gossypium raimondii (Peruvian cotton)
Lineage: Eukaryota; Viridiplantae; Streptophyta; Magnoliopsida; Malvales; Malvaceae
Description: long non-coding RNA (GRAI_LNC003489)
Source: RNAcentral